UACGGAGGGGCCGAGCGUUGUCCGGAGUUACUGGGCGUAAAGCGCGCGCAGGCGGCUCGUCAAGCCUGACGUGAAAGCCCCCAGCUCAACCGGGGAGGGUCGUCGGAAACUGGCGAGCUUGAGGUCGAGAGGGGCUGGUGGAAUUCCCGGUGUAGUGGUGAAAUGCGUAGAGAUCGGGAGGAACACCCGUGGCGAAGGCGGCCAGCUGGGCCGUUCCUGACGCUGAGGCGCGAAGGCGUGGGGAGCGAACGGG
This 253-nucleotide ribosomal RNA is filed under the name uncultured bacterium. RNAcentral describes it as "partial 16S ribosomal RNA". It matches the Rfam family "Bacterial small subunit ribosomal RNA", at positions 524 to 776 of the family's 1533-position model. The record is from RNAcentral.